UACAGAGGAUGCAAGCGUUAUCCGGAAUGAUUGGGCGUAAAGCGUCUGUAGGCGGCUUUUUAAGUCCGCCGUCAAAUCCCAGGGCUCAACUCUGGACAGGCGGUGGAAACUACCAAGCUGGAGUACGGUAGGGGCAGAGGGAAUUUCCGGUGGAGCGGUGAAAUGCGUAGAGAUCGGGAAGAACACCAACGGCGAAAGCGAGCUGCUGGGCCGACACUGACACUGAGAGACGAAAGCUAGGGGAGCGAACAGG
RNAcentral lists this ribosomal RNA (253 nucleotides) under uncultured bacterium. RNAcentral describes it as "partial 16S ribosomal RNA". It matches the Rfam family "Bacterial small subunit ribosomal RNA", at positions 524 to 776 of the family's 1533-position model. The record is from RNAcentral.